CACAGUACAUGUUUUAGAGCGAAUGAAUGAAUAAAUAGUGUUAUACUGGGGAUCAUAAGAUCUUUUAUUUAUUUAUUUUUUGUCAUUAUUUCAUCAAGAAAGUCACUUAACAUCCCUUAGCCCCAGUCUCACCAUCUCUAAAGUGGAGAAGUCAGGCUACAUGGUCUGGAAGCUCUAAGAAAGCAUGGUUUGAUGACUAGAAUAACUCUUUUUUUUUUUUUAAAGGAAGCAUGAUACAUAUCUAUGGUAUCAGAAUCCACUCCUCAAGUUAUACUGCUUGACAGCUUGGUUGCCUGCAUAAUAGCAAGAAGCCAUGGGCCUGAACAGCAUCACAUGAGUAAAGUUAGCUGCAAGAAGAACUUCCACAAAUGGAAAGGGCAAGAACAAGUCCCAAGACUUCAUCUCCCGAGGGGUGCUUAGGAAUACAGACAGACGAAAGGCUACAGAGUUGUUCUUUGGCUAUACAAGACACCAUCUUGUUCUCCAAGAAAGAAGGCCAACUUCUUUUCUGGAACCCAGCAAGUCACCCUGCAGCCGUAAACUAUUGAAUGGUUCCUCUUAAGUGGAGAUGGUAAACAGAACCCUGUAUGGACUGUCAACAGCCUCCCUAUACACCUUGGUGUGCAGAGCUGGUUGCUGAGACAUAGGUGGGUAAAUCUAUUUAGGAGCCAAAGAGCCUUCUGGGUGGACCUGUUUAUUUUACUCUGAUAGAUUUAGAAGUUUGGGACAGCAAUGUCACCAAGAGGAACUCAAGAUAAGGCAGUUAGGACUGAUGUCGCAGGCUCAAUGCAAAGGCUGAGCGCAGAAGAGGCUGGCUGGGCACAGCUGCUGUUAAUGCAGGAAGCCCCUUCUGCCACACCAGCCCAUGAGAAUCUUGCUUUAGGAGCAAUGGCAGAACGUGUGAGGGGAGCCAGAAGAGUUGCCAUCCUGCAUCACUCUGGUCUGUGUGGGGAUCUGGACUGGCAAGGGUACCUUUGUGUGGUGGACAGAGAUACCCAGAGGGAACAGAGAUGUUGCACGGCAGUAGAAACAGCUGCAGCUCAAAACCAGUGCCCUCUGGUGAACUGACCUAGCUCCCCAGUAGCCUUCCUGCCUGUUUUGAAGCAGCACUGACCCUGGGGGCUAAGCAAGCCUUCUGACAGUCUGUGGGAGGUGGGGAAGUACAUACUGUAAGAGGGAGACACUGGACUUCUUGCUGAGGUAGGCAGGUGGGUACUUGAGGAUUUGGAAAAUUAAAAGGGAUGCAAUUCCAAGCUAUUAAAACAGGCCGUAAGUAUGUAAUGUGUGCUGAGUGCAUUGAAAUGAGAAGUAGGUGCUAUGGAAAUAUCUAACAAGGGGAUUUGAAGUAAUGGGUGUCGUGAGGGAGUAGAGUCAGGGGUGGGAGUAGAAUCAGGGAAGGCUUGAUGAAGUGACAGCUUAGCUAAGAUUCAAAGGAUGACUCCAACUCAGGUGGACAAAGAAAAGAAAGUAUUUUAGAAAGAGUGAAUAUUAUAUGAGAAAACUCAGAAUUGCAAGAAUGAGAUACCUCUGUGGACCAGACAAUUCUGUAUGGCUAGAGCUUGGAAAACAAGGGUACAAAGCCGAGAUGUGAGUCAUAGGACCAGGGACUUGUUGGGACUUCACCCAGCGAGCAGUGAGAAGCCAUGGAAGAGGUGUGAGCAGAGAAGACAUGGUAGAUUUGAGAAUUUAAAUGCCUGUUCUAGCUAAAUUGAAAAUAGACCACAUUGGAGGCAGGAGUGGGUGCAGGGAGACAAGUAGGAGGGUUCUGCCCUAGUCCAGGUUGAACCACAGUCGUGGCAGUGAGGUUGGAUCAAUAAGCUGGAAAAUGUUGUUCUCAUAUUGCUUCCUGCAUCAGAUGGAAAAAACACCUCAAAGAAGUUGAGUGAUUCGUACAAGAUCCUAGAACCAAUAUGUGGGAGCACCAGGUCCAGACCUAGCUUCUGUCACUGGUUUAAAGCUCUAUCCAGAGUACCAGAACUUCUCAAGCUUCUUCUGUGACAUGAGUUUGUCUACAUGGCAGAUGCAUUUCCACACGUGUAUCUGUUUACUCCCUUGCAAGAAAGCAGAUCCCAAAGCACAAGAGUUAGAGAGGGGGGUUAUUACAUAGGCAACGGUGAUUUCACUCUGGUUCAUUAAAAACAGAAAAGGAAUCAUUUGAAAAUGUAUUCACUUACCUCUUAUUAGUAACAAAUCUCUCCCACUCCAGUUGGUGCCUGAGACUUGCACCCAGCUUGAAGCUACUGAUAGCUUCACUUACUCUUGAGAUUGGGAUGGGAGAUAAGGGGAGGAUUUCUUUUUUCUGCUCUAUCUUUAAGGAAUGUUGCUCCAUUUCAUUUUCCCAAAGAGAGUAGGGACAGAAGACUCUGCUGCUCAUUUCUGAGGUGACUAAUGGGUUCUCAGGUCCCAGGUCUGGGACCUUGGUUAUAAAGUUGUUUCUGAGAGGUACGUACGAGGGAGGUAAUGAAAGAAUGCAGAAGGUAAGAUUUUGAUGAGCUGCAUCUGUCAUGACUCUCUGAGGUCAUAGAUUUGCAGAAGUGAUUCUGUUUAGUCAAAGUUCUUUGGGGCAAGACCCUGUAAUUCCUCCUUUAUGGUGAAUUGCCCUUCCCCUCCACUUCUAUCCCCUCUCUCUCUCUCUCCCCACCCCAUUUUUCCUCCUUUCCUCCCUCCCUUCUUCCCUUCUUCCUUCCUCCCCAACCCCCCUCUUUCUUUUAACAAUAGUUCUUGGAUGCUGGAUUCCAUAGUAGAGGGUUUUGUGGUUAAUACCCAAGCUAAUGCACACAUAGGUCAAAGGAAAAAUUAUGACAAUAUUUCACGGCAGAUGAGACUAUAGAAGUUAGACUGUAGACGUAGGAUAACAAUCACCUAAAAGCCCCCCAAUUCUCAAAUAGUGACCAUUCCAAAUUCCUACUGAAUUACUCCCAGAUGCAUUUUCCUUUUCUAUAGGCCAUGUUUAGAUCUUGGGAGGAGCUCACUGGGUGCUGACAAAGGAAUAGUUUUAGAAAGCACCAGAUAGGCCUGCAGGUAUUCUGGCAUGGGCUCAAGGGCCACAGGCAUCCUCUGUCCCAGCUGUCACAAUAGAAUAGGAAUGGGUUGGUGAGCAUGUGACAGGGUGAGGAGGGAGCUGCUGAAAGACCUCAGGGUACCACCAAUCAUGUGCUUUCCCUACCCCCAGAUGGCCUCAUACUUUUUUCCUUUCCUUACCCAACCAGAAGAUUCAGAUUCUUGUGGGAAGGAGGAGGGCUCAGCCCAGCUCAGACCCAGAAUGGAGAAAGGAGGAAUGAGAACUAAAGGAAUCCUCAUAAAGGAUCCUGGCAUCCUCCCACGAGUGAACUCUGACCACAUACUCAUCUGUAUUGCGAAAAUAACACUGAUCUCACGAGGCUAAUGACAUUUUCUUGGCUCAAAGAUCACAGCAAACAAUUUCGGCCACAGGAACAAAACAUUCCUUUAAAAAUAUUCAGUGUAAAGAUUCCAGCUCACUGAAGACUGGAGCCAUUUUUUUUCUGGGGGAAAAAUCAUCAGGAAAAGCCCAAAGCAAUUCAUAAGCCCUGCGUGGACUGAAUUUGAAGCUGGGCAGCUGUAGGGCAGUGAGGCCAAGCAGAGCCUCACAGUGCAGAUACCCAGUCCACUCAGUUACCAUGAAUGAAACUC
Aethalodelphis obliquidens (Pacific white-sided dolphin) is the source of this 3651-nucleotide long non-coding RNA. RefSeq lists it as uncharacterized. The record is from RefSeq and is a predicted model, not a curated record. The transcript has 3 exons. Lineage: Eukaryota; Metazoa; Chordata; Mammalia; Artiodactyla; Delphinidae.